This 253-nucleotide ribosomal RNA is filed under the name uncultured bacterium. Its description in RNAcentral is "partial 16S ribosomal RNA". It matches the Rfam family "Bacterial small subunit ribosomal RNA", at positions 524 to 776 of the family's 1533-position model. The record is from RNAcentral.
UACGAAGGGGGCUAGCGUUGCUCGGAAUCACUGGGCGUAAAGCGCACGUAGGCGGAUUGUUAAGUCAGGGGUGAAAUCCUGGAGCUCAACUCCAGAACUGCCUUUGAUACUGGCGAUCUUGAGUCCGGGAGAGGUGAGUGGAACUGCGAGUGUAGAGGUGAAAUUCGUAGAUAUUCGCAAGAACACCAGUGGCGAAGGCGGCGAUCUGGGUAGAUACUGACGCUGAGGUGCGAAAGCGUGGGGAGCAAACAGG